Molecule: long non-coding RNA, 1313 nt
Organism: Rhinichthys klamathensis goyatoka
Lineage: Eukaryota; Metazoa; Chordata; Actinopteri; Cypriniformes; Leuciscidae
Exons: 2
Source: RefSeq, a predicted model, not a curated record
UCAAAUCUACCUGCCGUUUACAAAUGAUAGAAUUUUCAGAAAUUUCAAAAACAAACAAAAAAAAAAAGUAAAGGAAUUUACUACAAGAAUGCAAGAAAACAGACUACGAUUACAAUCACAUCUUUCAUCAAAUAAAUAAAAUAGAAAAAUAAGAAAAAAAAACUUUUUAAAUGAAGACGUAUGCUACUUGCUGAACUCUGGGAUUGUUUCAGUGUUGCGUUGAAUUUUUUAUGAAUUACAUUAUUGUUCUUGUUGGUUGAACUUACGCCAAAAUGUCUUUACAUUUUCGUUUCUGUAAAAGCAACAUAAUUAUGUCAUUGUCUUGCACACUGACAAUGGACUUGGAUAUUUUCUCAGGAAGAUUAGAGGUCCAGAGUUCCAGUUUCACUGUUAUGAUGUUGAUUAUCAUGAGAAAUUAACAAAUCAUUUUAUGAAAAGAGGACAAAAGAUGUUGAUAGAAAUCCAGCUCGAAGCACUGAAGGUUAUGGAUUUAAAAAAAUGUCUUUUUGAAUUUUAAUUCGUAGCAGACACACAUUUACCAAAUAUUAGAUUUGUAAUGAACCUAUGCGUUAUAUUUCUUGAAGUGGAGUGCUUUCCAUUUAAAAUGUUUGUAUCUAUCGCUUUACGUAAUACGUACCAAUACAGUUUUGUUUAUUGGUUAGGUUGUGGAAAGACCUAGCACUGUUUGAUUUGACCUUGCUUGAUGUUUCUCAACGAGGUCCAGUAAAAGAUAUUGAUAUUCCAUCCUCUUGUCUUUUCUUGUUUUAGAAAUUAAGUAGAGGCCUGUAUCCAAAGGCCUGAUAAUUGUAGAUCAACACAUAGAACUUGAACUCCUACCAUUUUCUUACUAGUUUUUAGAGUGUGGGUUGAAAAUACUCCAUCUAGGUUUAAGGCUAAAUGAUGAGGAAUUAAAAUGUUGUGAAAGGAUUAAGAAUCUAUGCACAGAGGUUUGAGGGGAUAGUAUGUCCGGUCAUGCUAUUCUCACAAGGAUCUUUUUGGUGGGGUGGGGGGUUCAUACGCUUGUUACAAGUUUUCUUUGUACGAGUUCUGAUUUGAAUGAGCAGAUUUUAUUUGUUUAAAAGGAAUGAUGGGUUGUGCAGGGUUUUGUGAGAGGGAAUUUAAUUGUUUCUCUUUAUUGUUCAGAUAUUAAGAACAUGACUGUACUGAGAUUUAACAAUGUUGCUGGCUUUUAAAUGUGUUUUCCUUACCCUUAAUAGAAUGUGAUCGUUGAGGACUUGCACCGAAAAAGUCUUUCCAUGUGGUAUGGAGAUUAUUUCAGCCUAUAUUAAUAAACAGCAUUUUUUUCUCUUAAA